AGAAUCAACGCUGGCGGCGUGCCUAACACAUGCAAGUCGAACGAGAAAGUGGAGCAAUCCAUGAGUAAAGUGGCGCACGGGUGAGUAACACGUGACUAACCUACCCUUGAGUGGGGGAUAACCUAGAGAAAUCUGGUCUAAUACCGCAUAAUACCUUCGGGUCAAAGGAGCAAUUCGCUUAAGGAGGGGGUCGCGGCCGAUUAGUUAGUUGGCGGGGUAAUGGCCCACCAAGACUGUGAUCGGUA
This 245-nucleotide ribosomal RNA is filed under the name uncultured bacterium. RNAcentral's name for it is "partial small subunit ribosomal RNA". It matches the Rfam family "Bacterial small subunit ribosomal RNA", at positions 26 to 285 of the family's 1533-position model. The record is from RNAcentral.